CCCAGUUUAGUAGAUAUCCAUGGCUCUGAUCAAUUUUUCUCUCUUAACCAGGAACCAUCUGUUGGAUCUGGCAACUUUGUUUGCCAAGUGAGUAUCAAAUAAUUCAAUAAUAAAACACCAGUCCCUUGAUAUAACAUAUGAUCUAUUUUCCCUUUCUAAAAUGCUGACUUGAUUUGAUAACUUGACUUUUAUCUCUUAACCAGGAACCAACAGAAAUCCCUGGCAACAAUAACUGCCAGGAGGAGGAGCCAGAGCAGAAAAUGGAGCCGGCUAUUAACAUCUGCCAUGAGACUCCAGAAUUCCCUGAUAAUAACAUCUGUC
Long non-coding RNA from Xenopus tropicalis (tropical clawed frog), 321 nucleotides. RefSeq lists it as uncharacterized. The transcript is spliced from 3 exons. The record is from RefSeq and is a predicted model, not a curated record. Lineage: Eukaryota; Metazoa; Chordata; Amphibia; Anura; Pipidae.